GUCGGCCAAAAUCGAAAAUCCGUUGAUGUCGGCUCGUGUGAGAGGGCUCAAAGAGCUGGCAGCUACUUUUCACUUUGCACUAAUCGCAUCUAAUUUGACAGAUUUACAUAAGGAUUAGAUGACGGGGAGACAAAGACAAAUGCCUAGACCUUGAGGGGAGGCAAUGGGUUGUCGGGUGAUAAGACUGAUGGAAUGGCCGGGCGUAAGUACAUAUUGAUGACUUGACACUGACUGACACUGUCAAACGUCAGUCAGCCGAAAAGGGAAGGAUUAGACGGUAGGAUGGAAGGUCGAUAAGUCUGAAAUUUCGGUGAGGUAUGUAUGUUCAUAUGUACACAUAUCGACGACAGAAACAAGAAGAAUCAAACUUAGUCAAGUGGGCGUUUCGGACUGGCGUAAUUCACACUUUUGUCACGGGCAGUUGCACCCUGUAAACCUGACGAGAACAGAACCCCAACCCCAUCGAUGCGAUACCAUCCGAUUCGAGCGGAUAUUGAUGACACAAUGCUGCACAUUAAGUCAUUCAAUUCGAAAUGUUGCGCAGCUGCGACGAUUUUUAGCACCAGACUACCGGACUGGAAGCGGCAAAUCAACGACACAUCAAGCGCGAAAAAAAGGGGUUGGGUUGGGCUAAGUCCGGUGCAGAAUGGUUUGGUCUAGUACGGACGAGCACUGUAAGAAAUAAAUAGUAUACAAGAAAC
Non-coding RNA from Drosophila melanogaster (fruit fly), 701 nucleotides. NCBI's taxonomy places the organism in Eukaryota, Metazoa, Arthropoda, Insecta, Diptera, Drosophilidae. The record is from Ensembl.